RNAcentral lists this long non-coding RNA (219 nucleotides) under Elaeis guineensis (African oil palm). Its description in RNAcentral is "long non-coding RNA (EGUI_LNC076097)". The record is from RNAcentral. Lineage: Eukaryota; Viridiplantae; Streptophyta; Magnoliopsida; Arecales; Arecaceae.
GAGCUCUACGGCGCUGGAGGAGAGUCAAUCCAAGCAAAGGUUGUAGGGACAUAUAUGUUAAAGUUACCUUCUGGAAAGAUCUUAGAGCUAGAAAACUGUUAUUAUAUGCCUAAGAUCAUUAGAAAUAUUAUUUCUGUAUCGUUACUAUUGCAACGAGGUUAUGAAAUAAACGGAAAGAGCAAUAGUUGCUCAAUUUCUUUUUCUAAUGAAAUUAUCUGU